Astatotilapia calliptera (eastern happy) is the source of this 1240-nucleotide long non-coding RNA. Lineage: Eukaryota; Metazoa; Chordata; Actinopteri; Cichliformes; Cichlidae. The record is from Ensembl.
GAAGGUUCGUUUGAAAAUCAGAAGAGCAUGGUGUCUUUACACUGUCACCACGUCCAUAUAAUAAACUCCACAGGCAUGAAAACUGAGAAUUAGGUAGACUAGACAUGGCUGUCGCUCACGGUGAAAGAAUUUUGUCAAUACGACAUGUACUUUUCAUUUGGGAAGAAUUUGUUUGGGCCUGACUUUUCUGUUCAUUUUAAGCAGCAAAAGUGAGGCGCAUGUCUGUGUACGUGUGUAUGGAGCCAUUGGGUGCGGUCACUAUAGCAACCAGGCUCACACCUGCCUGCUUAACGAGCUCUGCCUGCCACUCUGCCAAGAUUCAUCUUAAGCACUUCUCUUUCAACUGCUGCUGUGUCCACAGUGUCACAGCCAUCAUUUUACCCUCAAAUUGUCGCCAUUAUUGUUCUCUUUCCAACACCGUGUCUUUCAAAGCUCAGGCAUUUAAACUUUUUAAACUGUGUGGAUCAAAGUGGAGGGAUCACAUUUGAGUCAUUCAGUGAUUCAAAGAAUAUGACCUUUUGAUAUUCAUUCAGAUGUUUUCUGACUCUAAAUGUUCUUUUCUCAUUUCUUAGGGUUUUCUAAUUUACAUUUAAAACAUUUUCAGUUUUUUUCCAACUCCUUCUUCUGUGUAACCUUCAGCUUUUAGCAGUUCAGCACCUUUGUUUUCAGGUUAAAUUCGGGUUUUUUUUUGUUUUUUUUUUAAUCUCAUUCAAUAUUUUUAACUCAAAAUUCAGCAAUUAAUUCAUUUCAGUGCAUACAUUCAGAUUCAAGCAUUCACACUGCAGUUUCUUCAGAAAAUGCACUUUCUAGUUAUUAUUAUUAUUAUAUUUUAUUCUGUAUUCCGUACGUUUUUUGUAAUCCUACUCCUUCAAAACCGUUCAACUUAGAAAAACCAUUCAAACACCGUUAGAUUCCUAUUCUUUUGGACAACACUGCUUCCAUUUUUCAUAUUUUUAACAUUUAUAUUUUUAAUUUUAUUCAACUUUAUUCAACAAAAAUUUAUAAUGUAUUUCAAUGGGGAGACCCUUCAAAUCCUCAUUCAACUUACUCAUUUUUAAACUCUUACUACUUCCACAUACAUUGACAUAGAGCCACCAUUCAAACUUUAAAACGAAGACAAGACAUUCAACUAUUCAACUUGCAUUUAUCUUUUCAAUAUCUAUUAUACUUUUUCUUCAGUUCCAGUUUAAGUUUCAUGAUGUUUUUUCACCCGUUUCAGAGUUUAUAAUGGGUGUGUAUG